Xiphophorus hellerii (green swordtail) is the source of this 693-nucleotide long non-coding RNA. RefSeq lists it as uncharacterized. The transcript is spliced from 3 exons. The record is from RefSeq and is a predicted model, not a curated record. NCBI's taxonomy places the organism in Eukaryota, Metazoa, Chordata, Actinopteri, Cyprinodontiformes, Poeciliidae.
CAGGAUCACAUUGGAGCUGUCGUCAAAGUAGAGCACAGAAAUGGCAUGGAGCUGUGUCGGUGCACAGCAAGGUUUGGGAACCGACUCAGGAUUAACAAAAUGAACCUGGAAGGGAGAGGAAGAGGAGGAGGAGACGGGCUGCGUGUCCAGGGUGAGGACUGGAGAGAUGUGAUUGCUAGCUGAAGAUAUGUAACCAGCAACCAAGAAAAAAGCCCCAGAGAGCCAUCCGGUCUGCCCUUCAUCUGGUUCUCAUGAGUUGGGGGCUCCAUGUUUGCUGUACCCCAUCCCCACUGCCUCGUCAUUCCUAUUGCCACAUCCCUGCUUUCCAGUCCAUCCUGCGCCACCAGGAAGCCCCCUCCCUUACCUUUGUUCCUCUUAAGUCACAGCAGGACAUUCCCAGGGUGAAAAAUGUUUGCCUAUAGAGAAUCAUUUAGGAGUUCAUCAAUUUCUCUUCAUAUAACUUUCUGUGUAAUGAUAAAUCUCAUCUGGGAUUCACAUUCAGGUUAUUUUAAUUUGAAUUUCGUUUUCUCAACAACUCAGCAAAACUUUGAAUGUCAAUAGCUAAAUAUUUUUGCAGUGUUUGAUAAACUAGAAUCAUAAUCACAUAAAGAAACAGUUACAUAGAAAGAUCAAUACUUCCUUUUGCUGUACUGUCUUGUUUUAACAUGCAAAUGUAAUAAAACUCGGCAGUAA